CCUACGGGAGGCAGCAGUGGGGAAUAUUGCUCAAUGGGCGAAAGCCUGAAGCAGCAACGCCGCGUGGGGGAUGAAGGUCUUCGGAUUGUAAACCCCUUUCGACCGGAACGAAUCCCCUCCUGGUGAACAAUCAGGAGGAUCGACGGUACCGGGAGAAGAAGCCACGGCUAACUCUGUGCCAGCAGCCGCGGUAAGACAGAGGUGGCAAGCGUUGUUCGGAUUUACUGGGCGUAAAGCGCACGCAGGCGGUUUGGUAAGUCAGAGGUGAAAGCCCACGGCUUAACCGUGGAAUUGCCUUUGAUACUGCCUUUCUCGAGUGCAGGAGGGGGAAGCGGAAUCCCCAGUGUAGAGGUGAAAUUCGUAGAUAUUGGGAGGACCACCGGUGGCGAGGGCGGCUCUCUGGACUAAUACUGACGCUGAAGCGCGAAAGCGUGGGAAGCGAACGGGAUUAGAUCCCCGGGUAGU
Molecule: ribosomal RNA, 465 nt
Filed under: uncultured Nitrospirales bacterium
Lineage: Bacteria; Pseudomonadati; Nitrospirota; Nitrospiria; Nitrospirales
Description: partial 16S ribosomal RNA
Rfam family: Bacterial small subunit ribosomal RNA
Source: RNAcentral